This 900-nucleotide long non-coding RNA is filed under the name Apteryx owenii (little spotted kiwi). RNAcentral describes it as "lncRNA (ENSAOWG00000002483.1)". Lineage: Eukaryota; Metazoa; Chordata; Aves; Apterygiformes; Apterygidae. The record is from RNAcentral.
GCUCAGUUUUAUAAAAGUUAUAAAUCAGUUGGUCCAUGGACUUAGUAUAAACAGGUAGAUGAUCACAAAAGCACUGGUCCCACAUAGUGCCUGUAUUUAAUUACAGCAUUAGGGACUUGACUGAUUCCCAGGUAGAUGAGAGCCUGAUGCUUCCCCAUAGGUCCCAGCCAUACCCUCUCUUGCCUCCUUUCCCACCCCACUGGGUGCUCUGUACUAUACCAGAUGGUAGCUUCCAGAAAGUAACUAGCUUUUGCCUUCCACGCUGAAGAUGUUUCCUUUACUACUACAUUAAAAAUACAGCUUGCAUUUUAUAGCUUCAUUUCCUUCUAGGGAUUUCAAAUUUUUAAGUAAUUAAAAGCUAGGGAGUCAUAUACAAACCUCAGAGUGCUGUACAGCCACUAUUAGAUAUUAUAGUGACAUUGUUUAGCAGAAAAUAAAUUACCAAUAUGAUUAGAGUGGGAGAGACAUCAACACUGAGAAAACUAUCAAAAACACAAAAGAUGGCCACAUAGCUGGACAAGAUCUAUACUUUAAAUAUCUCAGAGUACAUUGUGCAUCUCUAUCCCAAUUCCAAAGGAGAAUUUUUUAUACCACAUUUCUCAAACGGACCAUGGGGAAGGGAAAUACUACCAUGGAUCAUGUCUGGGUUUGAGGAAGGAGAAACACACUGCCAUGGUGACACUGCAACUGGAAUGAGAGAUGUGUCCAGGAGGAAGUGUUUCAAGCAGCACCAAGAGCAAGACUUAGGUUGCUUCACCUUGUGGAGGCAGUAAAUCCAAAGAAAGCAUCAGGCAUCUCAGAGCAAUUGCCUGAAAUAGGGCACUCUUGGUCUGCUGAGGUGUAAAGGACCUGUGUGGGAAUACCAUCAAAUGCAAAGUUUGGAAUGGAAUUUUUCUGGCA